UGGUUCUGGCAUCGAUGAAGAACGCAGCGAAAUGCGAUAAGUAAUGUGAAUUGCAGAAUUCAGUGAAUCAUCGAAUCUUUGAACGCACAUUGCGCCCCUUGGUAUUCCGGGGGGCAUGCCUGUUCGAGCGUCAUUUCAACCCUCAAGCUCAGCUUGGUUUUGGGCCCUGCCGGUUACGGCUUGCCUUAAAAGCAGUGGCGGUGCCAUUCGAGCUCUACGCGCAGUAACUAACCUCGCGAUUGAGUCUUGGUGGAUGCUUGCCAGCAACCCUCAAUUAUUUAUGGUUGACCUCGGAUCAGGUAGGGAUACCCGCUGA
Molecule: unclassified non-coding RNA, 316 nt
Filed under: uncultured fungus
Lineage: Eukaryota; Fungi
Description: partial contains 5.8S ribosomal RNA and internal transcribed spacer 2
Rfam family: 5.8S ribosomal RNA (bases 1-133)
Source: RNAcentral